GAUGGACGCUAGCUCCAGGCUUAACACAUGCAAGUCGCGGGGCAGCAUGGGGGUUGCUUGCCAUCCCCGAUGGCGACCGGCGCACGGGUGAGUAACGCGUAUCCAACCUGCCCUUCACCACGGGAUAACCCGGCGAAAGUCGGACUAAUACCGUAUGUUGUCCAUUGACGGCCUCCGAUUUGGACGAAAGGCUUGGCGGUGAGGGAUGGGGAUGCGUCCGAUUAGCCAGACGGCGGGGUAACGGCCCACCGUGGCUACGAUCGGUAGGGGUUCUGAGAGGAAGGUCCCCCACACUGGAACUGAGACACGGUCCAGACUCCUACGGGAGGCAGCAGUGAGGAAUAUUGGUCAAUGGGCGUAAGCCUGAACCAGCCAAGUAGCGUGCAGGAUGACGGCCCUAUGGGUUGUAAACUGCUUUUAUGCGGGGAUAAAGUGGCCCACGUGUGGGCUUUUGCAGGUACCGCAUGAAUAAGGACCGGCUAAUUCCGUG
This 490-nucleotide ribosomal RNA is filed under the name uncultured bacterium. RNAcentral's name for it is "partial 16S ribosomal RNA". It matches the Rfam family "Bacterial small subunit ribosomal RNA", at positions 28 to 507 of the family's 1533-position model. The record is from RNAcentral.